Molecule: long non-coding RNA, 501 nt
Filed under: Brassica napus (rape)
Lineage: Eukaryota; Viridiplantae; Streptophyta; Magnoliopsida; Brassicales; Brassicaceae
Description: long non-coding RNA (BNAP_LNC026868)
Source: RNAcentral
UGUUUUGGACGGUUAGUUUUUACGUAAAAAUAUAUACCCGCAAUAGAUUUUAAUUAAAUUAAUUUCCGGAUUAAAUAUUCUUUGGCAUCUUUGUUAACGCAAUUAGUGGUGUAUAGUUUUACCUUUGGAUCCUGCCUUUAUCCCCACAUAAAAGUCGGUCAUUGUUCAUAUCUUUAAAUAUUAUAUGACGUACGGAUAAUAAAUAUUUGUAGGCACUACUGAAUUAUUUGCAUUUCUAUUGUUUUGAUAGGCCUACUUCAAAGUUCAUAAGGUUUGCCUUUCCUUUGACUUUUUUUUUUUCACUGAUGUUUAUAAACAAGGUGACAAAAUUUAAGAGGGAUGGUUACAACAUAAACCCAAAAAAGCCUCAAACAGGUGAGGAAACGGAAAGGAUAAAACAACGAUUAAGACAAACUUAUCAAACCGGUAGAAGAUCAUUAACUAAAGUGUUCUUAAGCCAAAAAAGGUAACCCCUAGCCACAUAAGAAUGUAACCGGGCUC